GAAAUUAUUAUGCUUAAUUAGAAAGAUUAUAAUAAUCAAAAGAGACUUGACACUCGAGAGUCAAGACAUUAAAAUAUUUAAAUAUAAAUUUAUAAUAUGUUAAAAUAAAAUAAAAAAAUCACAAUUUCCAAGCCGUGUUUACCCGUUUAAUCUACUAUUUAAACCCUCUCGCUAUGCAAAAACCCAAAAACCUGCCGAGCCCAAAGUCACUCAAAUCCCUUGAAAAAAAAUACAAAGUUCGGUAGAUAAACGAAGAACAAACCGUCUAUUUCUCCAAUUCCAGUAUGACGCCACCAUAAACUUGAAGAAAUUCAAGGAAAAAUACGGUACCAAUCCUGAAAGGUAAGAUCUACCAGCAAAACUUUCGGCUAGAAAUCAUCCGAUUGGCGUUUACCUGACUAAAGGUUCGGCCUGCCUCUUCAUCUUCUUCGGCGUUGCACACAGCACACUUGCACUUGCUUGUGGACGGAGGACCUGUGGUUUUAGGUUUUGCUUGUUAGGGGUACGAUUGUGCGUUCUUCAUUGGUUUUGUCUCUUAUGGCUUUAUCAAGAAUUAGAUUGUUUAUUACUAUUAGUCAUGUGCUGAUGUUUAGAUCCAUUCUUACUGAGGAUUGGUUAUUUGCUUUUUUCUUGAAAUCAUCCAAAUACAUGCACAUUUCUCAAUUAUUUGCCUACUUCUUGAAAUCAAUUUUCGAAUUCUUUACUAAUUUCAAUAAUAAUUGAAUACUAGUUGUUAAAAAUUAAAAAGGGGUAAACUAAAAAACUUCUUGGUAAAAAAUUACUUUAAUAACAUUAAAUAAGAUUUUUAGUGUUGACAUAAUAUAACUUCAAUGGUUGUUGACGUGAUUAUUUAGAAUUUUAGUGUUGGAAAUUGUGCUUAAAUUAUGCUUAGAGUCAGAUAACGAUAGAGAAUAAUUUCAAAUGCGCGUUAGUGAUUUUUAUAAUGAUUAAUCUUCAUGAACACUUAAUCGCAAUACAUUUAAAUAUUAAACUAUAAAUUUAUAAUAUAUUAAAUUAAAAAAUUCACAAUUAAAAAAAGGAAGACGCUAUUUACGCGUUAUAUCUAACUAUAGAUAGACCCUUUUGCUAUGCCUAAAAAUGCACUCUCGUAACAAUCCAUUCGUUUGAAUUGGCAGAAGAAAUAGAAUUCAUCACCAAUCAGGUUCUAAAUUUAAACCUUUCUUCUAUUUAUUAUUGUUGAGUCUAAUCGAGUUCUUGAUUUCAUACUUAUUACUUGAAUUUGGAUUAAUUUGGCCAAAGAUCUUUCAGGAGACUAUGUCAAUCACUUCAUUUUCAAGGAGACAACAUGACAAUCAUUUAACCCAUGACUGCCGUCAGAACUUUAUAUGCAGAAAUACAGAGCUGUUUUUCAAAUGCGAUGGAUGCAAGAUGAACGGGUUCGGAGAAAGGUACACGUGCAAUCUCUGUCGUAGUAGAUUCCACAUGGAGUGUGCGCACCCCAUACCCUCCAUUUCCCAUGAGAAUUUUCCUGGCUCCAUCUUCAAAUUUUAUAGCAAACCAUUUACAGUAUGGGAUAGUAAAAAGAAUUGCAAAAAGUUCUCGAAGUUGUGCUAUGCAUGUGGAAAGGAAAUAUGCGGUUUUAACUACCAUUGUGGAGCAGACAGUUUGGAUUUACAUCCAUGUUGUCGAAAACUUGAAAAUAAACUAAUAAUUGAUGAUAUGAUAUUUGAUCUUGUGACUAAGAUUUCAUCGAAGUGUGUUAAGUGCGGAAAGCAGAAGAUUUCUCGUGAUAAGAGAAAUGUCCGAGGCUGGUCUUAUGUUUCCCAGUGCAAAAAGUAUCGUCUUCAUGUGUAUUGUUUAACUGAUAUAAUACAAGAGGUGUAUAUGAAGCGGGAGAACCUUACAUUGAAUGAUAUAGAUUCAAUAAAAUUAGUUACGCGUUACAGAAACGGAAAUGGUGAAAAUACAUUCGUUACAUGUGCCAAAUUGGUUAUCAAGAUUCUAGUGUCUGUUCUUUUGGGCGAUGUUACUACGCUCUUUUCCGGUGCCAUGGUGGAGUUGUUCGUCAGGCACUUGUGGAAGAAGGGAGGGGAUUCUCGAACGCGGAAAAGGAUCCAAUNAAUUCGAAAGAAUUGAACGAGGAGCCGUAUGAGGUGAAAAUCUCAUGUACGGUGAUCAUAGUGUCUUUUUCCUCUUCUACUUUCAAUGCGGAUGACAUAAAUAAAUGUUUUUUUUUUCCAUGAAUCAAUUCAUUUGUCCAAUCAUGAGAAAAUUGUGUGUGAACGAUGGUUUUUGUAAUGAACAUUUUAAUUUGAAUAAUCUUAUAGAGGAAGCAUUAUAAUAGACCAUUAUUAUAUUGUCCCCCUCCCCCACAUCCUUGACUCGGCAUGUGGAUAUUAGUCAUGUCCCUGCUUAAUUGUUAUCCCUAGUCUGGGAUAUGAAAAAUUUCCAAUUCAUUCGGACUUUGACUGGUAUGUUGUUC
RNAcentral lists this long non-coding RNA (2443 nucleotides) under Olea europaea subsp. europaea. Lineage: Eukaryota; Viridiplantae; Streptophyta; Magnoliopsida; Lamiales; Oleaceae. The record is from RNAcentral.